UUUUUACUCCCCCCGUCCCAAAAUUCCUGUCUUAAAUUUGUCUAAAUAUGGAUGUGUCUAGUUACAUUUUAGUGUUAGAUACAUCCGUAUCUAAACAAAUGUAAGACAAGAUUUUUGGGACGGAGGGAAUACUAC
Molecule: non-coding RNA, 135 nt
Organism: Triticum aestivum (bread wheat)
Lineage: Eukaryota; Viridiplantae; Streptophyta; Magnoliopsida; Poales; Poaceae
Source: Rfam